GGCGGUCAUAGCGUGGGGGAAACGCCCGGUCCCAUUCCGAACCCGGAAGCUAAGACCCACAGCGCCGAUGGUACUGC
This 77-nucleotide ribosomal RNA is filed under the name Pseudarthrobacter scleromae. The record is from RNAcentral. Lineage: Bacteria; Bacillati; Actinomycetota; Actinomycetes; Micrococcales; Micrococcaceae.